Molecule: non-coding RNA, 594 nt
Filed under: unclassified sequences
Description: ROOL RNA
Rfam family: ROOL RNA
About the family: Firmicutes, Fusobacteria (1 example), Tenericutes (1 example).
Source: Rfam by way of RNAcentral
UCCUGCCAAUUUGAUAGCAGGUAACCUUGUGAAGAUGCUUGUUAAGCUGCAAGGAGUUAAGGUAUAUCAAUUCAGUUAUUGUAAGGAUACUUUCAAUAGGUGGAUUUAUUGUAGUAGUAAUAUUGCGAUAGAAGUGAGAAACUCACAACGAUAACUUAACGUGCUUAUUAUAUACGCUCAUAAAAACAUAAUUCUCUUGGUGGUAAUAAUAGACGCUCUCUGUGAGAGAAUAAUCUUAUAUGUUAGAUGUAGGGAUAUAUUUAACCUCUAUAAGAAAAUCCAAAUAAUGCCAUUGGUCGUGAACUUGAGAAAUCAAGGUAUAACAAGAGUUUAUAGUACGAGUAGCCAAAGACUAGAAUCAAUUCUUGAAUAUAUCUAAAGGGUAGAUAUGAUUAAAUAAACUAAUUCUGAAAAACUGGUGAAAGUUAGAGGUAGUCAAUCCUCUUCAAGUAUUAGUGUUUCGUCGCUAUGUAAAAUAUAGGGCAAGAAGCAUUAAGGUCGCUCCUUAAUGCUCAGACUUGUCUUCUUGGUGGUUGAAUAUAUGUGAAGUAUGUAAUCGGUAAGGUGAAGACCUACCUACUAUUCUAUUUAAUU